Molecule: non-coding RNA, 2006 nt
Organism: Paramisgurnus dabryanus
Lineage: Eukaryota; Metazoa; Chordata; Actinopteri; Cypriniformes; Cobitidae
Source: RefSeq, a predicted model, not a curated record
UGUCCCCCAAGGUACAAUCAACACAAAAGUACCCCAUAGGGCUCAUUAUUGGACCUCAAGGUACAUGUAUGUACCUUUUUGAGGGUCAAAAAGGUACAUAUUUGUUCCCAAGCAUUAAAAGGUACAUAUUUGUACCAUUUCUUUUAAAGGAUAAGGUACAAUGUUAAGAGACAGUCUCUUGCCAUUUUUUUUUAUUUGUUGUUCUAGACAACUGCUGUAAAUCUGGUCAGUAACAUAAAUAACUAUUGUGUCAAUUUUUGUUUCCUUUAGUUGGACACAUGGGUAUUGAAGUAGUAUUAGUUUUCUUCUGUUCAUUGACAGUGUGUUUAAUUUUAAAUUUUUAAAUUUUAAUGGACAAAAAAGUUAAUUUCACUUAAUAAAAACUGUGAUAUGAACUCAAAAACUGCAAUUUAUUAACCAUUAUUUAAACUGAAUAAGUACUGAAUAACUGAAUCCCUCACACACACCGAAAAAAAACCGCGCUUUUAUUUUGACACGCGCCCAUCCCCCCACAUCUCACGGUUGGAGUCAGUUUCACAGAGCAGCGCAGGAGGACGACAGACACAUAAAGAACAUUAACAGGGCAAACGUUUCCCGCGCAAGUUUGAAUCUCUCUCAGUCAGUCAGGGGGAGAUUAACUGACUGACUUUCUACACGCCACCAAACAGUCAGUUAUACAGAAACCUUUUUAAGUUUAGUUUGAAUCUCUCUCAGUCAGUCAGGGGGAGAUUAACUGACAGACUGUAUAACGUUACAGGCCACCAAACAGUCUUACCAAGAAACCUUUUACAGUUUAGCGCAAACGUUUCCUGAGCAAGUUUGAAUCUCUCAGUCAGGGGGGAGAUUGACUGACUGACUGACUGACUGACUGUCUACUCGCCACCAAACAGUUACACAGAGGUAACAAGUAAGGACUAACGUUAACUGUCUGUCUGUCUGUCUGUCUGUUCUCAACCAAACAGUCAUUCAAGACCUUUUAAAGUUUAGUGCAAACGUUUCCAGCGCAAGUUUGAAUCUCUCUCAAACAGUACCAAACAGUAAACCUACACAGAAACCUUUUAAAAGUUUAGCACAAACGUUUCCAGCGCAAGUUUGGAUCUUUACCAUUGAGGGUGGCUGACUGUUUUCGACCAACUAUCAUUCACACGCAAAAACUUUAAAGAUAAGUAUGAACGUGCCCAGAGCAGUUUUCGAUCUUUACCAUUAAGGAGGCUGACUGACUAUCCUCUACCACCCGUCAUUAACACAAGAAAAACUAAAGAAAUGUUUAUCCAUAUGGACCUAUUCAUUUACUCAUUAUGCUGUGAGUACACCACAGUUUUAUCAGGGAAAAAAUUUAUAUUUGUGUUUCUCACUGCUUGACAAGGACAGAUGUGGCCCUGUUAAAAAUGUUUAAAUGUCGUUUGGUUUAAGGAACAACACACUGAUUUUGUUUUAAAAUAUUCCUGUUUGGACAGUCUGUUAAAGUCAUAAAGGAAUACUUGAUAUAUUUCAUAAGUAAAGUGUAAAUGUAAUAUUAGUUUUUAAUGUUGUGAAUUUGGACUGAACAGCACACUUCUGUUUUAUAUCUAAACCUUUUGUAAAAUAAAUGAUUGUUCAAUAAACUGUGUGUUUUAUCUUUUCUGUUAUCAUUUUUUAUACUAAUGUUUAAAAUGUACCUUUACACUAAACGAUUGGCUACACCAACACAAAUAUAUUGAGUCAUAUGCACUUAUAAUCUAAAGUUUACAGUACUUAGAUUGAGAUAUAUGUAUAAGUUUUAAAACCAUAAUCAAUGAGUGUACCCUGUCAAAGCCAAUUUUGUACCCUUUUUGAAGGGUCCAUAUUUGUACUGUUAAAUAAAGGUACAAAAUUGUCACCAGAGGUACAAAACUGGUCUCUUAAGGUACAAAUCACAAGGGUACAAAUUUGUACCCUCUGCCAAGGGUACAAAAACUGUACCCUUGAGGGUACAGCCCCAGUGACAAGCCAUUGUACCCCUAAAGGUACAAUUAUGUCCUUUCUUU